UGUCCUACGGGAGGCAGCAGUGAGGAAUAUUGGUCAAUGGACGGAAGUCUGAACCAGCCAUGCCGCGUGAAGGAUGAAGGCGUUCUGCGUUGUAAACUUCUUUUAUCUGGGAAGAAACCACAGAUUUCUAUUUGUGUUGACGGUACCAGAUGAAUAAGCACCGGCUAACUCCGUGCCAGCAGCCGCGGUAAUACGGAGGGUGCGAGCGUUAUCCGGAUUUACUGGGUUUAAAGGGUGCGUAGGCGGGCUAUUAAGUCAGAGGUGAAAUCUCCGGGCUCAACCUGGAAACUGCCUUUGAUACUAUUAGCCUUGAAUUAUGUUGAGGUUGGCGGAAUAUAACAUGUAGCGGUGAAAUGCUUAGAUAUGUUAUGGAACACCGAUUGCGAAGGCAGCUGGCUAAACAUAUAUUGACGCUGAUGCACGAAAGCGUGGGUAGCGAACAGGAUUAGAUACCCUGGUAGUCUCU
Molecule: ribosomal RNA, 466 nt
Filed under: uncultured Chitinophagaceae bacterium
Lineage: Bacteria; Pseudomonadati; Bacteroidota; Chitinophagia; Chitinophagales; Chitinophagaceae
Description: bacterial SSU rRNA
Rfam family: Bacterial small subunit ribosomal RNA
Source: RNAcentral